UACAGAGGUCUCAACCGUUGUUCGGAUUCAUUGGGCGUAAAGGGUGCGUAGGCGGUCGUGCAAGUCGGAUGUGAAAUCUCAGGGCUCAACCCUGAAACUGCAUUCGAUACUGCGUGGCUAGAGUGCUGGAGAGGAGACUGGAAUUUACGGUGUAGCAGUGAAAUGCGUAGAUAUCGUAAGGAAGACCAGUGGCGAAGGCGAGUCUCUGGACAGCAACUGACGCUGAGGCGCGAAGGCCAGGGGAGCAAACAGG
RNAcentral lists this ribosomal RNA (253 nucleotides) under uncultured bacterium. RNAcentral describes it as "partial 16S ribosomal RNA". It matches the Rfam family "Bacterial small subunit ribosomal RNA", at positions 524 to 776 of the family's 1533-position model. The record is from RNAcentral.